CUAGCUGUAAACGAUGGAUACUAGGCGUUGAGAGUAUUGACCCUCUCAGUGUCGUAGCUAACGCGUUAAGUAUCCCGCCUGGGGAGUACGCGCGCAAGCGUGAAACUCAAAGGAAUUGACGGGGGCCCGCACAAGCGGUGGAGUAUGUGGUUUAAUUCGAUGCAACGCGAAGAACCUUACCAGGGCUUGACAUGUCCGGAACCCUGCCCAAAGGCGGGGGUGCCUACGGGAACCGGAACACAGGUGGUGC
RNAcentral lists this ribosomal RNA (250 nucleotides) under uncultured Chroococcidiopsis sp. RNAcentral describes it as "partial 16S ribosomal RNA". It matches the Rfam family "Bacterial small subunit ribosomal RNA", at positions 796 to 1044 of the family's 1533-position model. Lineage: Bacteria; Bacillati; Cyanobacteriota; Cyanophyceae; Chroococcidiopsidales; Chroococcidiopsidaceae. The record is from RNAcentral.